UCUCUUGUGCUCGGGCAUGUACUGUCGCCAGUGAGGUCUUUACCGAGGCACAGUCUUUUGCUGAUUGCAAAUUACACAUCCGAACACGUCUGUCGGCUCCGGCCUUCAGCAAUUUUUGGCAACCCCCCUCGUCCUUGCAUCUUUCUGGGA
Molecule: small nuclear RNA, 150 nt
Filed under: Peniophora sp. CONT
Lineage: Eukaryota; Fungi; Basidiomycota; Agaricomycetes; Russulales; Peniophoraceae
Description: U4 spliceosomal RNA
Rfam family: U4 spliceosomal RNA (bases 1-131)
About the family: U4 small nuclear RNA (U4 snRNA) is a component of the major U2-dependent spliceosome. The structure of U4 snRNA from yeast and human has been reported.
Source: Rfam by way of RNAcentral